AGCGGCAUAGCCAAGUGGUAAGGCAGGAGACUGUAAAUCCUUUACCCCCAGUUCAAAUCUGGGUGCCGCCU
RNAcentral lists this transfer RNA (71 nucleotides) under Zea mays. It matches the Rfam family "tRNA". Rfam says of the family: Transfer RNA (tRNA) molecules are approximately 80 nucleotides in length. Their secondary structure includes four short double-helical elements and three loops (D, anti-codon, and T loops). Lineage: Eukaryota; Viridiplantae; Streptophyta; Magnoliopsida; Poales; Poaceae. The record is from Rfam by way of RNAcentral.